UGUGUGUGUGUGUGUGUGUGUAGUCUUGUGACUACCAGUCUAUUGCAUCAUAACCCUCUGCAGCACACUCGUACGCCCCAGCUGCUCAAAUGACCUUUGACCCCGCCUUCAGAUUACACACCGCAGAAGGUGUCUGUGCCUCCAUGCAAUGGAAAUGGGAGAGACUCUGAGAGGGAUGUGGGAGUGUCCCUGAAGUAAAUGAAUAGAAAUGUGGGCGUGUCCCUGAGGUAAACUUAUACAAAUGUAGGCGUGUCCCCAGGUACAUGUAUAGAAAUGUGGGCGUGUCCAUGAAGUAAAUGAACAUAAAUGUGGGUGUCUCACUGAGGUAAAUGUAUAGAAAUGUGGACGUGUCACUGAAAUAAAUGUAUAGAAAGAUUUUCUAGGUUUUCUGUAUAUCAUGGAAACUUGGAUUACUCCAGGAGUUCGGAGCCUGUUUUCUGAACUGGUACCAUCUGACUGUAAUUUUUUAUUUUUUUCUAACUCUCCUCGUUCUGUUGGUCGAGAGGGACGACUGGCUUCAGUUUUUAAACGGAAUUAUUAAUACUGUCGGAUGCUGGUGACGGAUGUUUGUUUGAGUUCUGAACUUCAGUUAUUUGUAUUGGAGUUGGAUAAUCCAGUGGUGAUUUCAGGCAUUUAUCGACCACCUGAACCACACAAAGACUUUUUAAGGGGAAUUAUGCCCAACUUUAAUCGGGGAUACAUAUAUGUGUGUUGUCGAAGAAUUUCUGACCCUUGUUGACUCUUUUUACUUGGUGCAGCUUGUGAAUGCUCCCCCUCAUAUUCAGGUGAUCGGACCUACUGUUCAAAAGAUCACGAACAGCUGCCUUGAAAUGGCGACGGUACCAGAUGACAUGAAGCAUGCUGUUGUCCAUCCACUUCCUGAAAAGCCAAAUUUACAUCCAACGGUUCUAACAAAUUUUAGUCUUUCUUCUAUGUCCAAAAUGUGGGCGUGUCAACGAAGUAAAUGUAUAAAAAUGUGGGCGUGUCAAUGAGGUAAAUGUAUAGAAAUGUGGGCGUGUCACUGAGGUAAAUGUAUAAAAAUGUGGGCGUGUCGCUGAGGUAAAUGUAUAGAAAUGUGGGCGUGUCACUGAGGUAAAUGUAUAGAAAUGUGGGCGUGUCACCGAGGUAAAUGUAUAAAAAUGUGUGUGUGUCACUGAGGUAAAUGUAUAGAAAUGUGGGCGUGUCACUGAGGUAAAUGUAUAAAAAUGUGGGCGUGUCACUGAGGUAAAUGUAUAAAAAUGCGUGUGUGUCACUGAGGUAAAUGUAUAAAAAUGCGUGUGUGUCACUGAGGUAAAUGUAUAGAAAUGCGUGUGUGUCACUGAGGUAAAUGUAUAAAAAUGUGUGUGUCACUGAGGUAAAUAUAUAAAAAUGCGUGCGUGUCAAUGACGUAAAUGUAUAAAAAUGUGGGUGUGUCACUGAGGUAAAUGUAUAGAAACGUUGGCGUGUCACUGAGGUAAAUGUAUAGAAACGUUGGCGUGUCACUGAGGUAACUGUAUAGAAACGUUGGCGUGUCACUGAGGUAAAUGUAUAGAAAUGUGGGCGUGUCCCUGAAGUAAGCAAAUAGAAAUGUGAAGGUGUGACAGGAGUCAAGAUGGCGCCGAUGGGUGUGGCCUGCUCUCCGCUGCCUGUUGUGUUUGCCCAUUUGUUUUUCCCUUUUGAAUUAAAAUAAUAAAGCUACCUUUGUUGGACCAGGUGUUGGUCAAGGAUGCGUGAUGGGCGUGGCCGAGGGAAAGCCGCACCCAUCUGUCUCCUCAAUAUCGAGAUCAUUUUAAUGCAGUCUGAGAGACAUUAGCGGCGCAGCCAGGAAUGGAAAAGUAAAAAGCUUUUCAUUAGUCUGACACAAAGCCAUCGAUUUGCCAGAACAGAACGAACAGAGAAAACAAAGAGCAGAAGAAAGAAGGGGAAUAGAAGAAAGAAUGAGAGAAAAGUGGGGAAGAAAAGAAGAGAGGAGAAUAGAAAGAAACGAAGACAGUGGAGCGGAGGGACAGAACAGUGAGGAAUGAAGAGCCGAGAAAGAGAAGGAGAGAAGAAAAGGAAAGAAUGGAGCAUGAAGGAAGGAAGGAAGGGAGAGGAAGAAGACAAGAGGAGAGAGACAGAGAGAGAGAGAGUGAGAGAGACAGAGAGAGAGAGAGUGAGAGAGACGGAGUGAGAGAGACAGAGAGAGAGAGUGAGAGUGAGAGAGAGAGUGAGAGAGACAGAGAGAGAGUGAGAAUGAGAGAGAGUGAGAGAGACGGAGAGAGAGAGACAGAGAGAGAGAGAGUGAGAGAGACGGAGUGAGAGAGACAGAGAGAGAGAGUGAGAGUGAGAGAGAGAGAGAGUGAGAGAGACAGAGAGAGUGAGAGUGAGAGAGACGGAGGGAGAGAGACAGAGAGAGAGAGUGAGAGUGAGAGAGAGAGUGAGAGAGAGUGAGAGAGAUGGAGAGAGAGAGAGACAGAGAGAGAGAGAGAGAGAAUCCUCCCCUGAGCAGGACGAUUAUGAGCCGGCUUUCCAUCACACACCACACGACAAGCGGAGACAAGUUCUGUCCAGACUAAUGAUGCCAGGGUCACUGGGGGUGUGUGUGUGUGUGUGUGUAUCAGGCGGUAAGGAAGCAUGAACCGAUACUAUACAGUGUCCUAUACAGUCUAAAAUGAGUGUCACAUUAUUUAGGAAAUCCCGCUAAAUAGAUUAGCAGUGGGGGAGGUGCACACACACACACACACACACACACAUAUAUAUAAUACACACACUCACACCCCUGUCAUAUAUGAAUAUGAUAUAAUCUCAUUAAACGUAUAUAAAGGUAUUAUGAAGGA
This is a long non-coding RNA of Ictalurus punctatus (channel catfish), 2795 nucleotides long. The record is from Ensembl. Lineage: Eukaryota; Metazoa; Chordata; Actinopteri; Siluriformes; Ictaluridae.